AUUCAAUUAUAUUUUCUAUUUUAUUAAAUGGGAUUUUAUUCCUAAUUAAAUAGAUAUAUAUGAUUAAUAUUUAAUAUAAUGAAUUAAUGGGCUUAUUGGCCACCUAAGGCCCUAAGGCCCAUACAUGGAGGCCCAAAGCCCAUAAAGCCCAUGAAGCCCAUCUCUAAAAUCUAUAAAUAGAGGUGUUGGAGUGCUCAUUAUCACAACGUGAAAGAGUG
RNAcentral lists this long non-coding RNA (218 nucleotides) under Salvia miltiorrhiza (redroot sage). Its description in RNAcentral is "long non-coding RNA (SMIL_LNC013132)". The record is from RNAcentral. Lineage: Eukaryota; Viridiplantae; Streptophyta; Magnoliopsida; Lamiales; Lamiaceae.